AGAUACCCUCUUAUUUAAAAUGUAAUUUAUUUACUAGAGUAGUUAUAGUUAUGUUCUUGAAACUUAAAAAAUUUGGCGGUAUUUUAGUCUAUUCAGAGGAACUUGUUCUAUAAUCGAUAAUCCCCGUUGGACCUUACUUAAUUUUGUUUGUCAGUUUAUAUACCGCCGUUAUUAGAAUAUUUUAUAAGAAUUAAUAAUUUUCAAUAUUUAAAAUAAAAAUUUAUAUCAGGUCAAGGUGUAGCUUAUAAUUAAGAAAGUAAUGAGUUACAAUAAAAUUAUUUAUGCGAAUAUAGUAUUGAAAAAUAUUAUUAAAGAUGGAUUUGAUAGUAAAAUUUUAUAGAUAGAAAAUUUGAUUUUAGCUCUAAAAUAUGUACACAUCGCCGGUUCGCCU
This 391-nucleotide ribosomal RNA is filed under the name Empis tessellata. Its description in RNAcentral is "partial small subunit ribosomal RNA". The record is from RNAcentral. Lineage: Eukaryota; Metazoa; Arthropoda; Insecta; Diptera; Empididae.